RNAcentral lists this ribosomal RNA (227 nucleotides) under Chaetoceros curvisetus. RNAcentral describes it as "partial Bacterial large subunit ribosomal RNA". It matches the Rfam family "Bacterial large subunit ribosomal RNA", at positions 1411 to 1684 of the family's 2925-position model. The record is from RNAcentral. Lineage: Eukaryota; Bacillariophyta; Thalassiosirophyceae; Chaetocerotales; Chaetocerotaceae.
GUAGUGGAUGGACAACGGGUUAAUAUUCCCGUACCUGUAUAAUAAUAAAGUGACGGAGUUGGAAAUUAGGUGCGUACUGACGGAAUAGUACGUUGAAGUAACUGCGAGGUUACGAUAGUACAGCAAGUCUUCGGAUGCGCUGAUAAUCCUAAGUACCCGCUUCCAAGAAAAGCGAUUUAUACAGCCCGUACCAAAACCGACACAGGUAGUCGAGGAGAGAAUCCUAA